UACGUAGGCAGCGAGCGUUGUUCGGAGUUACUGGGCGUAAAGGGUGUGUAGGCGGUUCUUUAAGUUUGGUGUGAAAUCUCCCGGCUCAACCGGGAGGGUGCGCCGAAUACUGAGGGACUAGAGUACGGGAGAGGAAAGUGGAAUUCCUGGUGUAGCGGUGAAAUGCGUAGAUAUCAGGAGGAACACCGGUGGUGUAGACGGCUUUCUGGACCGUAACUGACGCUGGGACACGAAAGCGUGGGGAGCAAACAGG
RNAcentral lists this ribosomal RNA (253 nucleotides) under uncultured bacterium. RNAcentral's name for it is "partial 16S ribosomal RNA". It matches the Rfam family "Bacterial small subunit ribosomal RNA", at positions 524 to 776 of the family's 1533-position model. The record is from RNAcentral.